Molecule: long non-coding RNA, 596 nt
Organism: Oreochromis aureus
Lineage: Eukaryota; Metazoa; Chordata; Actinopteri; Cichliformes; Cichlidae
Exons: 4
Source: RefSeq, a predicted model, not a curated record
GCCAAGACUAUGGAGUUGACUGUGGGAUCUUCAUGCUGAUGUCUGCUCUGUACGUGGCACUGGAUGCACCAUUUGACUAUACUAUACUCUGGCAAGCUAUUUGCACACUGGAGAGAGGAAGCCAAAGCUGUGCUUGAAGGACAACACGUGCCCAUUUUCAGACUGAAAAAGCACAAGUUCCAGGAAGUCAGUCAGAAGCCAGCAGUUGUUGAAGAUCUGCGUCCUGCUGUGCAGUGGGUUGUCCAAAAUAAGGCACUUUUCCGUGGACACGUAACAAUGCCAAAAUAUCUGUCCUUAAAUCAAGGGGACCAGCAGAGGGUCUUAAGAGACAUGUCAGAGGAAGAAGACACUGGAGCAAGGGACUUGUUCCUCUUUGUUUUUCAGUUUGCAGAGGACAUGGAGCUCUUUUUGAAAGCAUGUGCUGAUGAGCAGGGACUAAGGGUCAGUGCUAUGUUUGACAUGUAAUGGACAAAUAAAGGCACUGGCUGUUUGUUAUAUUUGUUUCUUUCUUUAAUAUGUCGUUGUUGUUGUUUUUGUUUUGUUUUUGCAUAGUACAAAAUUCCAAUUAAACUUAUUUCAAAAUGUUGUUCACUUGA